This is a long non-coding RNA of Peromyscus maniculatus bairdii (prairie deer mouse), 376 nucleotides long. RefSeq lists it as uncharacterized. The record is from RefSeq and is a predicted model, not a curated record. NCBI's taxonomy places the organism in Eukaryota, Metazoa, Chordata, Mammalia, Rodentia, Cricetidae.
CUUCCUAACCUGGAACAAAGAACGACUGGAUUUUUUGUCCCAUUUGAACCCCUCACAAACUGUUUUCCUUUCUGGCCUGUUCCUCCUCCAUCCUCAUCCACUCCCUGGCUGAUCCAGACUCAUCAUAGCGUCUGUCUGUCUUUGGAUCAUAAAACCUUUCUUUUCUUGGCUGGGACACAUGGUAAUGCUUCUAUAGAACAACUAAACCUCAUUUCAAGGAUUCCAUGUAACACACUCUGUUGCUGUGGAUGGACUUGAACUCCAGGGCCUCUUGUCUUCCACGUGCUGGGAUUGCAGGUCUGUGGCCCUGAUGCCCCCAGGUCAUCUGGAGUCUGAUCAUGCCAGGAUAAAAAAUAAAUAAAGUAAAUAAAAGGAA